AACCGGAUUAGAUACCCUGGUAGUCCACGCCGUAAAACGAUGUCGGACUUGGAAGGUUGUUCCCCUUGCUGAGUGGGUUUCCGGAGCUAACGCGUUUAAGUGACCGCCUGGGGAGUACGGCCGCAAGGGUUAAAACUCAAAUGAAUUGACGGGGAAGGAACAAGCGGUGGAGCAUGUGGUUUAAUUCGAUGCAACGCGAAGAACCUUACCUACUCUUGACAUCCACGGAAUUUGGCAGAGAUGCAUUAGUGCCUUCGGGAACCGUGAGACAGGUGCUGCAUGGCUGUCGUCAGCUCGUGUUGUGAAAUGUUGGGUUAAGUCCCGCAACGAGCGCAACCCUUAUCCUUUGUUGCCAGCGAUUCGGUCGGGAACUCAAAGGAGACUGCCGGUGAUAAACCGGAGGAAGGUGGGGAUGACGUCAAGUCAUCAUGGCCCUUACGAGUAGGGCUACACACGUGCUACAAUGGCGCAUACAAAGAGAAGCGACCUCGCGAGAGCAAGCGGACCUCACAAAGUGCGUCGUAGUCCGGAUCGGAGUCUGCAACUCGAGCU
RNAcentral lists this ribosomal RNA (552 nucleotides) under uncultured Gammaproteobacteria bacterium. Its description in RNAcentral is "bacterial SSU rRNA". It matches the Rfam family "Bacterial small subunit ribosomal RNA", at positions 771 to 1317 of the family's 1533-position model. The record is from RNAcentral. Lineage: Bacteria; Pseudomonadati; Pseudomonadota; Gammaproteobacteria.